GACGUAGGGGGCAAGCGUUGUCCGGAUUUAUUGGGCGUAAAGCGCGUGUAGGCGGCCAUGUAGGUCUGACGUGAAAUCCCGAGGCUCAACCUCGGCAGGGCGUUGGAAACCAUAUGGCUAGAGUCUGGAAGAGGAGAGUGGAAUUCCUGGUGUAGCGGUGAAAUGCGCAGAUAUCAGGAAGAACACCGAUGGCGAAGGCAGCGCUCUGGGACGGGACUGACGCUGAGACGCGAAAGCGUGGGGAGCAAACAGG
Molecule: ribosomal RNA, 253 nt
Filed under: uncultured bacterium
Lineage: Bacteria
Description: partial 16S ribosomal RNA
Rfam family: Bacterial small subunit ribosomal RNA
Source: RNAcentral